RNAcentral lists this unclassified non-coding RNA (440 nucleotides) under uncultured fungus. RNAcentral describes it as "partial contains small subunit ribosomal RNA, internal transcribed spacer 1, and 5.8S ribosomal RNA". The stretch from base 1 to 73 matches the Rfam family "Eukaryotic small subunit ribosomal RNA", at positions 1759 to 1831 of the family's 1831-position model. Lineage: Eukaryota; Fungi. The record is from RNAcentral.
ACAAACUUGGUCAUUUAGAGGAAGUAAAAGUCGUAACAAGGUAACCGUAGGUGAACCUGCGGUUGGAUCAUUAAAAAAAGAAAAGAGUGUUUUUCUAAAUGGAAGGGAAAAAUUUCAAUCUUCUGGCAAUGGAAAAAACCGAGUUGGUAUUUCUUUUUGUUUUCGAUGGUCUUUUUUCUCUUUUAUUUUUAAAACAAUCGAUCUUUUGUGAACUUGUAUUUUAAUUUGGUGGUAUUUGAGUUUUACUCAUCUUAACACCGUGGUGUUUCGUGAGAGAACUUGAUGUAAAUCCCAUCAAUUUAUUUUAAACAAAAAACCUUUUUUUAUUUUUAAUUCUUCCUUAUUUUUAUUUCAUUAUUUUUAAUGAAAAAAAAUUGAAAAAUUGAAAAACAACUUUUGACAAUGGAUCUCUUGGCUCUCGCAUCGAUGAAGAACGCAGC